UCUCCGUUGGUGAACCAGCGGAGGGAUCAUUACCGAGGUUUUCUCCUCCCAAUCCUCUGUGAACUUAUUCCUUUACUGUUGCUUCGGCGGGUUAACGCCCCGGAAGGUCCAAAAAGCCGCCGGAACCAGCAGCACGCCUGGGGGCCCAAACUCUUGUAUUUCUUACUUUGCAUGUCUGAGUGGAAUCAUAAACAAAUGAAUCAAAACUUUCAACAACGGAUCUCUUGGUUCUGGCAUCGAUGAAGAACGCAGC
RNAcentral lists this unclassified non-coding RNA (253 nucleotides) under plant metagenome. RNAcentral describes it as "partial contains small subunit ribosomal RNA, internal transcribed spacer 1, and 5.8S ribosomal RNA". The stretch from base 205 to 253 matches the Rfam family "5.8S ribosomal RNA", at positions 1 to 49 of the family's 154-position model. The record is from RNAcentral.